This 497-nucleotide ribosomal RNA is filed under the name uncultured bacterium. Its description in RNAcentral is "partial 16S ribosomal RNA". It matches the Rfam family "Bacterial small subunit ribosomal RNA", at positions 28 to 507 of the family's 1533-position model. The record is from RNAcentral.
GAUGAACGCUGGCGGCGUGCCUAAUACAUGCAGGUCGAGCGAACGGACGAGAAGCUUGCUUCUCUGAUGUUAGCGGCGGACGGGUGAGUAACACGUGGAUAACCUACCUAUAAGACUGGGAUAACUUCGGGAAACCGGAGCUAAUACCGGAUAAUAUUUUGAACCGCAUGGUUCAAAAGUGAAAGACGGUCUUGCUGUCACUUAUAGAUGGAUCCGCGCUGCAUUAGCUAGUUGGUAAGGUAACGGCUUACCAAGGCAACGAUGCAUAGCCGACCUGAGAGGGUGAUCGGCCACACUGGAACUGAGACCCGGUCCAGACUCCUACGGGAGGCAGCAGUAGGGAAUCUUACGCAAUGGGCGAAAGCCUGACGGAGCAACGCCGCGUGAGUGAUGAAGGUCUUCGGAUCGUAAAACUCUGUUAUUAGGGAAGAACAUAUGUGUAAGUAACUGUGCACAUCUUGACGGUACCUAAUCAGAAAGCCACGGCUAACUACGUG